AACGAACGCUGGCGGCAUGCCUAACACAUGCGAGUCGAACGAGACCUUCGGGUCUAGUGGCGCACGGGUGCGUAACGCGUGGGAACCUGCCCUUAGGUUCGGAAUAACUCCCCGAAAGGGGUGCUAAUACCGGAUAAUGUCUUCGGACCAAAGAUUUAUCGCCUUUGGAUGGGCCCGCGUUGGAUUAGCUAGUUGGUAGGGUAAAAGCCUACCAAGGCGACGAUCCAUAGCUGGUCUGAGAGGAUGAUCAGCCACACUGGGACUGAGACACGGCCCAGACUCCUACGGGAGGCAGCAGUGGGGAAUAUUGGACAAUGGGCGAAAGCCUGAUCCAGCAAUGCCGCGUGAGUGAUGAAGGCCUUAGGGUUAUAAAGCUCUUUUACCCGGGAUGAUAAUGACAGUACCGGGAGAAUAAGCUCCGGCUAACUCCGUG
Molecule: ribosomal RNA, 433 nt
Filed under: uncultured bacterium
Lineage: Bacteria
Description: partial 16S ribosomal RNA
Rfam family: Bacterial small subunit ribosomal RNA
Source: RNAcentral